RNAcentral lists this long non-coding RNA (21439 nucleotides) under Marmota monax (woodchuck). Lineage: Eukaryota; Metazoa; Chordata; Mammalia; Rodentia; Sciuridae. The record is from RNAcentral.
CUGGACCUCAGGGGCCUUCCUAGGUGACAGCACCUGGAUGUACUAGGAGAGUGACAUUCUGACCCCAUGAGGAGGGCAAGGCAGCUCUGGGACCCUCCCAGACUUCUCCCUGUGUAUCUCCUCAUUUGGCUGAUACUGAAUUGUAUGCUUUGCAACAAAACUAUAAUGGCAAGUAUAUUACUUUCCUGAUUUCUUAUGCAUUGUUCUAACAAGUGAUCAAAACUGUGAGGACUGGGAGAACCCCUAAAUGAGUGACCAGUGAGUCAGAAGUAUGAGUGGCCUGGGGGGAACUCUGUACUUGGUUCUGUGGUGGGGUGGCCAUGCAGAAGACUGAGUUCUUUUUUUUUUUUUUGGUGGGGGGAUGCCAAGGAUUGAAUUCAGGGGCACUGGACCACUGAACCACAUCCCCAGCCCUAUUUUGUAUUUUAUUUAGAGACAGGGUCUCACUGAGUUGCUUAGGACCUUGCUUUUGCUGAGGUUGGCUUUGAACAUGUGAUCCUCCUGCCUCAGCCUCCUGAGCCGCUGGGAUUACAGGCCUGCACCACUGCUCCUGGCAAAAGACUGAAUUCUUAACUCACGGGGUCUGUGCUCACACCGGGUGAUUACAGCCCAAAUUGAGGCAGUAUAUUAGUUCAUAUUAGAAUUAAAGAUAAGAUAAAAAUCCUUCAAGCAGGCUAAAAUACCCACCUGGUAUAUAACUCUGGGCAAAAUAUUUAAAGGCCUACCAAGGGUGACUGGCUGGGCUGAGCCCAAGGCUUACCUACUGAGCAUGGAGGAAGCGAACAAGACACUAAAAUCUAUUUCCACUCACUGAUAUGGGUAUAGGAUUUUGUCAAUGGGAAAUUGUGAGGAUUUAUUUUCAUUAAGGCAGUCUCCAGCAGGUAGAAAGGGGGACAUGGGAUAUGGAGGGAAUGAGGUAGGUUCUGCCUCCAUCUCUACUCCUUGAGCCAGUGUGCUCCUUAGUGGUAGAGAAAGGAGGGUCAGCUGCUGGAGGAGCAGUUGUCCUGGGAGAUUAUGGUAUAAGCAAGUGCUUGGGACCAGGGAACAAUUUGCAGCAAAGAGUUGGAAACUAGGUCAUUCUUCCCAUCUUACAUGGAAUGCACUUAAAAUCUUUUUUUUAAUUGUCAAAGGACCUUCAUUUUAUUUACUUAUAUGUGGUGCUGAGAAUUGAACCCAGUGCCUCACACAUGCUAGGCAAGCGCUCUACCACUGAGCCACAACCCGUGUCCCUGGAACUUUUAAUCUGAAUUUUUCCGGGAAUUUAGAAACCCAGACAGCACUGACAGGUUUAAACAAUGGUAUCCUCUUGCUAUGUACAAAUAAAAAAGAAAACAUGUCUAUCACUGGAUUAAUGCUCAGCUUCUAGCUCAAGAUUCUUCUCAAAGACCAUUUCUCUCUUGGCUCAGAUCUGCUUCACAGAAUGGUCAGGGUGUGCCGCUGAGACAGAAUUGUAGCAGAGAUUUCAUGAGGACUGCAAAGUUUAAAAUAUUUACAACCUGGCCUUUUACAGAAAAAAAAAACUAUAUAAUGCUAUAGAUGAUAUCCUCUGACAAAAAUGUAAAUUAACUAUGAUUAGUAAUAAUAAUUUGCUCCCAAAAACAACCAUAGACACUUUGAGCUCACAGGAUAUCCAUUAUAAAAGCUAUAUAAUAGAUGGAGGUGAGCAAUGAGAACACUGUAGAUCAAAACAUGUAGGAAUUCAGUAUCGACAAGCCCAUAUAACCACAGUCAUCUUAUUCGCAAAGUCUCCAAACACACACAUUGGAGAAAAGAUAGUUUCUUCAAUAAAUGGUGCCUGGAAAAUCCAUAUGCAACAAAAUGAAAUCAAACCCCUCUCUCUCACCAGGCACAAAUCUCAACUCAAAGAGGAUUCAGGACCUAGGAAUUAAACCAGAGACACUGUGUCUAUUAGAAUAAAAAGUAGGCCCAAAUAUCCACCAUGUUGGAUUAGACUCCGAUUGCACAAGAAUUAAAAUCAAGAAUCAAUAAGUUGGAUGGAUUCAAACUAAAAAGCUUCUUCUCAGCAAAAGAAACAAUCAGUGAGGUGAAUAGAGAGCCUACAUUAAAACAACAACAACAACAACAACAGUAAGUUAUGGUUACAUUUUUUGAAAAUAAUUAUUUUUUAGCUGUAGUUGGGCACAAUGCCUGGAUUUAAUUUAUUUAUUUAUAUAUGGUGCUAAGGAUCAAAUCCAGGGCCUCACAAGUACUGGACGAGAGCUCUACCACUGAGCCACAACCCCAACCCGAGAGCCUACAUUUUGGGAGCAAAUCUUUACCACUCGCACAUCAGAUAGAGCACUAAUCUCUAGGAUAUACAAAGAACUAAAAAAUCUUAACACCAAAAAAACAAAUAACCCAAUCAAUAAAUGGGCCAAGGAAGUGAACAGAAACUUCUCAGAAGAUGAUGUAUCAACAAAUAUAUGAAAAAAAAUGUUUAACAUUUCUAGUAAUUAGAGCAAUGCAAAUCAAAACUUCUCUAAGAUUUCACCUCACUCCAUAAUGGCACUUCAUAAUGGCAGCUAUCAAGAAUACAACAACAAUAAAUGUUGGCGAGAAUGUGGGGGGAAAGGCACACUCAUACACUGCUGGUGGGGUUGCAGAUUGGUGCAGCCAAUAUGGAAAACAGUAUGGAGAAUCCUUGGAAAACUGGGAAUGGAACCACCAUUUUACCAAGCUAUCCCUCUUUAGUCUAUACCCAAAGGAUUUAAAAGUAGCAUACUACAGGGACACAGCCACAUUGAUAUUUAUAGCAGCACAAUUCACAAUAGCUAAACUGUGGAACCAACACAGAUGCCCUUCAGUAGAUGAAUGGAUAAAGAAAAUAGCCAAAAUAUAUAUACACAAUGGAAUAUUAUUCAGCAUUAAAAGAGAAUAAAAUCAUGGCAUUUACAGGUAAAUGAAUGGAGUUGGAGAAUAUAAUGCUAAGUGAAGUUAGCCAAUCCCCCAAACCAAAUGCCAAAUGUUUUCUCUGAUUUAAGGAUGCUGAUUCACAAUGGGGUUGGGGAUGGGGAUAUGGGAGGAUUAGAUGAACUCUAGAUAGGGCAAAGGGGAAGGCGGGGAAGGCCAGGGAAAGAUGGUGGAAUGAGAUGGACAUCAAAUACCCUAAGUACAUGUAUGAAGACACGAAUGGUGUGACUCUACUUUAUGUACAACCAGAGAUAUGAAAAAUUGUGUUGUAUAUGUGUAAUAUUAAUUAUAGUGCAUUCUGCUGUCAUGUAUAUCAAAUUAAAAUUUAAAAAUAAAUUUCAAAACUCAAUAUUAUAUGUUUUGAUAUGUAGGGUCAAAUGAAUGCGUUUAUUAGAAAAUAAACAAUUGAGAACAAGGGGUUAGGCAUUUAACUCAGGAAAUUAUUUUCUAAAAAAAAAAAAAAAUAAUAAUAAUAAUAAUAAUAAUAAUGGAUGCAUAGUUAACCAAAAACGAGUCAGGAAUCAAGAAAGAAAUGAGGAAAUCGUGCCAGAUUAGAAGAGCAAAAUUAACAGUGAGAAUGAACAAAAGCAGAAGCUAAGAUUUGAAAAGAAGUUACACCUAUGAACUCUGGAAGUUUUGAUUAAGGAAAAAAGACCAACAACAAAAAAGGAAAGCAUAUAAAUAGGAAAAAAAAGAUAGUAAAAAAAAAAAAAAAAUAUAUAUAUAUAUAUAUAUAUAUAUAUAUAUAUAUCAUAACCUACACAAUGAACAACUUUCUGGCAAUAAAUCUGAAAAGUCAGACAAAACGGUUGUUUUUCCAGAAAAAGGUGCACUAUCAAAAUUGACUACUGAUUUAAAUUCUCAUGUCAUUAUUUUUUAAACCAUGAUUAUAAUGAUUAUGGUUAUGUGGUUAAAGAUCUAUUCAGGCUUUUAAUUUAUGCUUGAGUCAAUUUUGAUAGUGCACCUUUUUCUGGAAAAACAAAUAAACCUUUUUUAAAAAAAUAUUUUAGUUGUAGAUGGAAACAAUACGUUUACUUUAUUUUAUUUAUUUUUAUGUGGUGCCAAGGAACAAACCCAGUGCCUCACACACGCUAGGCAAGCGCUCAAACUCAGCCCCCCAAAACCAAUAAACCUUUAAAAGUCCCAAGCUUACAGUGAUCUAUGUGUAAAAUUUAUAAAAUUUUCCAAGAAAAGAAAAAAAACAACUUCUUAUAAAAGUACUGCUCAGAAGAGCAAGAACAAGAGAGAGAGAGAGAGAGAGAGAGAGAGAAUAAAUUGGAGAAAGACAAUGCAAGAAAAGAAAAAGCUCAAUCUCACCGAUGCAGAUGAAUAAAAACCUCCUAGAAAAAAUUUACAAAUUAAAUGCUUUAAUCUCUAAUAUACCAUACAUAAGCAUACUUCAUGCAAUAUUAUUAGUAUUAGAAAAUGUUAAUACAAUCAAUAAUAAUGUUACAGAUUAAAGAAGAAAAAACAGAGAGAUGCAAAAAAAAUAGCAUUUGAUGAAAUUCUCUCAUGAAACAUGUCCGCAAACUAAAAAUGAAUGUCAUUUCCUUAAUCACAUAAAUAUUACCUACUGAAAACCUAAACAGACUUACUAACAUGUAACAAGCAAAGAUUAGAAAGAGCACCUUUAAAAUGGGGCAUGAAAGAUGAGCUUGUUCUCAUCAGCAUUAUUCUGCAGAUCCAGACCUGGGUAAGAAAGGUGUGAGAGAGACAAAAGAAUUGGAAAGAAAAGCUAGAAACAAAAUUGUCAUUUACAAAGAACAGCAUUAGCAACACAGAGAGGGAAAGAGGAAGGACAGGUGGACACAAAACUGAUAGAAUACUGGCAUUUUCAUAAUAGACCACCAUUUAUGCAAGUCAAUAGGAAAAAGACGUUGCAUCUUAAAAAAUGGGGAAAAGGAGGGAUAAUUCACCCAAAACCAAAACCUACUUAGCCAACAUGUGUGUGUAAAAGAGGCUUAGCCUCUCUCUCUCUCUAGGACCCCCCUAGUUUGCAGCCCUGCUUUGCAAAGCACUAGUUUCUAAAGAAGAGAGUCCCCCAGAGCAGGGUAAGCAGAGGAAGUAGAGCCCACCUGGUGGGAGCCUGGGCAAUACUAGCAGGGGCUGGCUGGUCCGGGGUUGAACCUGCCACCUGGGGAGCAAGGCUGAGCCCUCAGGUCAAGCAGGGCUGCGUGGGGGAGACAUCAACCUUGCAUAGUCUCCUUUUCUCUUUAGGGAAAAGCAAAACAGAUGACUGGCUGUUGUAUGCAGCCCUUUAUAAGGCCAUCCUUAAAGGGGAGGUCCCUGGACCUCAUCCCUAAUAGGUUCUCAUCUGGGGCAAAACCAGAACCCCCUGGGGGGCUUGCAAACACACAGAAGCUGGUCCACUGAAUGUCCUGACCCAGUGGACCUAGGGUGAGCCCCACAGAGUUCAUUUCUAACAAGUUCCUGAGGUCCAGCACACACUCCAUGUCUGCAGCUAUCAGUAAUUUUAAGGUUGCUGCUCUCAAAGGCUGGGACAGCAGCUCGGAGGGCAUGAGAAGAUGAAGGAGCACUGAGCUGGGUCCACAGUCCUCUUGGCUCGGGAAUUGGUUGGUGCUCUGAAUAGCCUCGUCUUACUGAGAAUCAGGACGAGCCUAUACUCUUUCCUCACAACAGUUGGGGGCAGGAAAGGGUAAGAAAGAGGACCCGGCCUUGUAGGGACCAUAUGACUAUGAUUGGGAAUGUGUCUGUGGGCUGGAGUGGGAUGGAAAAUGCCCCAUGGCUGGGAGGUCAUGGUGCCCACCUGGAUGGUGCCUUUCACCAUAUCUGGGACCACUGUGGGGAGACACUCAGGGUAACCUGAUGUGUCCAGGGAUGGGGUGCGCAGGUGUCAUGGCCUCACAAAGCUACGUCAUUGUGUUCUGUUUCUUUCCCUCUUGUUUCUGCAUCUCUGCCAAAUUCUGGCACAACAGUUUUUCUUGGGAAGUAAAGUGAUGGGGCAGAGAGGGAGGUUGACAUUCAAAUAAGAAAGGGGGAUUAAGAAAGGAAAGCCAAGGAAGCUCUUCACCUACCUCUGGUAGCUAGUAUCCAGGCAAGGUUUAGUCUGUUAGCAAAAGUGGGUUUUGUUUUUGUUUGCUUUUUCUGUUUGUUUGUUUGUUUUAAGUUUUAUUUUCAUUUGGCAGCUUCUCCAGAGAUAAUGCAGAGGAUUUAACUAUGGUAAAUGCAAUGAGAUCUCAGUUUCUUUCUAUGCUGAUGGAAUCUCAUUUCAGCAUGGUCAGGCAGUAGCCAUAGAGACCUCUUUUCCUGCAGGACAUUAUAGGGCCAAGAAACAUGGAGUCCCCUGGGGGCAUAGGCUCAGAUGCUGGGUCCCUUUCCAUUUUAUGCUUGGACUUCCCUUGAAUGGCCCUGGACCUUGCUCUGUACACCUUGGCCGAGUGUUUUGGGAUGCUUGCAAAAAUAGUUCCCUGUAUCUGCGAAGGAUGUAUUCCAAUAUUCCAAUGAUAAUACCAAACCCUAAUAUAUGUAUGUAUGUGUGUAUAUAUAUAUAUAUAUAUAUAUAUAUAUAUUCCUUUUUAUACAUAAUUACGAAAAAGUGUCACCUUUUGACUUUCAAGCAAGCACUUUACGACUUUCCUUUGGCACAUCCAAAUUCUCACUGCUUUUGCACUUUGGAGCCAUUAUGAAGUAAAAUAAAGAUUACUCAAACAGAAACAGGGUGAUACCAUGACAAUGGAUCUGUAAUCAAGAUGGCUACUCAGUGACUAAUGAGUGGGUAGGUUAUACAGCAUGGAUAUACUGGGCAAAGGGACGAUUCAUAUUCUGACACUAGAUUUCAUUGUGCUUCUCAAAACAGCAUGCAAUUUAAAACUCAUAAAAUUGUUUACUUCUGGAAUUUUCCAUUUCAUAAUUUUGGACCCAACAGUUGACCAGAGGGAACUGAAAUCUUGGAAAGUGAAACUGUGGAUCAGGAGGCUUCUAUACUCUAGAGCUAGCUGGUGGAGCUCAUGAUGGUAUCUUCUGACAGUAGAACCUCCCAAUUCCAUAGCACUGCUCAGGGCUGUGAGGUGUCUUCAGACAAGAUAGGCCUGUGGUCACAUGCACUGCUGAGUAGAGACAGAGAGAUCCCACCCCAGGGAAGCACCAGAGGACCAAGAUAAUCCAGUCCCAUGAGUGGGACAAGCUGACCCUCCUGCAGCCCUGCUUACCUGUUCCCAGGCAGGUGGUCAGGGGAGGGGCAGCUGGCUCUCCCUCCUUCCUCCAAAUGCUGCAGUCCCUGCUCAUUCCUCCAUGCCACAAGCCUCCUGCUGAUGAGGCAGUGGCAGGAGCGACUGUCUCCUUCAGGAAUGUGCCAUGUUUCUGAGCCCAUGACAAUGACACCUGUGUCAUUCAUAUGUACAAAAGCCAGAUAUAGCAUCCCCCAUGCAGCGCUCCUGGUCCUCUGUGGAAUGGGCCCUUAUGUGUCCUACCAGUGGGCCCUAGGAUGUGGACAAGAGCCUUUCCUCCUGAUGACCAGGCCAUCACCAUUUGGCAAACCAGUUGUUUGGUUUUUGUGGGGGCCACACCAGCACAGCAGCCUGGGCUGAUGUCAUGGCCAGGUGGACCUGGGGACCACACCAGUUUCAACACCCAGCCGCAGCCUGUCCUGCCAUUUGCAAGAAACAAAACACAAACAAAAUGCAUGGGAGUGUCUGACCUGUUUGCAGAUGGCUUUAGUCAUGUGCUGGGAAACCUCUGCUGCAGGGAGUUUUCUCUUACCAGGCCUCCUCAGGCACACGGGAGAGAGGUUCCCAGGGAGAUGAUAAGGAAUGAAGAAAGGGAAAGAGAGAGGGUAAGAAGCCGAGGGCAGGGGAAGAACAUGACGGUCAAGGGAGCUUGCUCUGUGGCCACUGAGUCCAAGUCCUCGGACCCCAGGCCCUAUAGUGUGGGUCAAGUUCGUUGUACGUGUCAAGUGUGCUGGGUGGUGGAGCCAGGUAAGCGGUCAAGCUUUAUCCUGGUGUCUCUGUGACAGCCUUUGGACUUGAUCCACCUCACGGGGCUCUUCCACCUCUUGCCUGCCAGCCAUGGUGAUUUUAGACUUGGUAGCCUCCAUAAUUGUAGAAGCCAAUUCCUUGAAAUCAAUCAAUCUAUCUAUCUAUCAAUCAUAUAUCUAUCAUCUGUCUGUCUGUCUGUCUAUGGUUGUCUCUCAGUAUCCAAGGUAGAAUGGUUCCAGGAUCCCCCAACCCUGGUGGUGGAUAUCAAAUUUCACAGUUGCUCAAGUCUCUCAUAUGGAAUGAUGAAGUAUUUGCAUGCAACCCAUGAGCCUCCUCCUGUGUACUUUAAACCAUCUCUAGAUCACUUACAAUACCUGAUACCAUGUAAAUGAUACAUAAAUAGUUGUUAUGCUGUAUCAUUAGAGAGUAAGGGUAUGAAAAAAAAUCUGUACAUGUUUAGUGCAAAUUAAAUAUUUGUUUUUCAAUAUUUUAUCUUCAGUUAAUUGAAUCAGCAGAUGUAGAACAUAUAGACAUGGAAAGCCAACUCUAUCUAUCAAUCUAUCUAUCUAUCUAUCUCUCUACAUCAUCAUCUACCAUUUAUCUGCCAUUUAUCAUCUAUUUAUCUAUCUAUUCUCUAUCAUCUAUCAUUUAUCAUCUGUCUAUCCUGUUUAUCUGUCUAGUGUCAUCUAUCACCUGCCUGUCUACCUAUCCAUCCAUCCAUCUACCCAUACAUACAUGCAUCCCCAGUUCUGUUUCUCUACAGGAUCCUGAUGCCCCCAUUCCCCACUCCUCAGGCUCCACUCAUCCUCCUCAGCCUGCCCACAUUCCCAGCAGUUGAGGGUUCGGAUGCGGAACAGUCACUGAACAGUGGAGGUUGAAUGAAAGGAGAAAAGUAGAAUUAAGGGUACGUGUAGGCUCCAGGAGGCUGACAUCACACCGAUUUCUCAUUUUCCUGGAGGAGAUGCCAUUCUUUCCCCUAAUUUUCAAAAGAUUUGUCUGUGGCCUAAAGAAGGUUAAGAGGAGGACUAAGAAAUCCUGAAAUAGCUCAUGGAACCACGAACCACGGCCCCCAGCAGGUUUGUAGAAUUGUGAAGGCCUGGUCAUCAGAAGUAAGGCUCUUUUCCAUAUCUCAGGGCCCAGUGGUUUGGUUUUCCCAUUAAGAGGGAAAAACAAAGUAAAUACACCAGGGAAAAUAAGAAGGAGGGGGCCAGGUCAAAGACAAGGGAGCCAUGCUACAUGUGGAGAAGUGAUUUGUUCUGUUUCUCUGUCACUGAAGACGUACUAGAUGUUAUGAGGGAAGGCAGCACAAAACUGUACACAUUAUUGCUGGUAUUAUAACCUGAAUCCUCAGACAUCAUAACUGAAUUUUUUAAAGUCUUUGAGAACCUCUUUCAGUGCUCUGCUGAUCUGUACUCUGUACGUUUCAAUAAGCUGGACUCCCCAGCCCCCUAAAAUGGACGGUUUGAUUUAGAUUGAGGCAUGCAGAGAUGAAGAAAACUCCUUUUUUUCUUUCUCCUUUCUAUCCAAUCAGGAAGUCACAGGACCGAAUUUCCCUAUUUUGUCAGUCCUAUACCUUGAAGCCCACACUAUUCCAGUAGCACGGAACUGACAAGGGAAUGCCCACACCAGAGAUUUAUCUGCCCAUCUACAGCAUGCCUGUCAUCCAAGGGGGCUACCUACAGAGCGACAGUCGUUCAUAAAGCCAUCAGUCAGAAACUUAUUUCAUGAAAGUCUCCAGUGAGAAAACAGAAUUUAGCUUUUUGAAUGUUAAAUUUAUGCUACUAGAGAUUCUUCUAAUAGAGGAGUAUAAAUUCCAAGCUGCGCAUGGCUCUGGAAAACCUUUUAAUGAACAAACGAAAAUAAUUAGAAUCCUGUUGGGAUUGGCCGAGGAGCAGAAAAGAAAUGGUCCACUCUGAGUGUCAACCAAGUCUCCUCCCAGGGCUGCACGGGGAAGAAAGAUGGAUUGGUUGUCUGUAAGAUUUGGCAAGGGACACUAACAAUCAGAGUGACCAUGGCGUGGAUGUAACAGCAGCUCACCUUGGUCACAGAACGGCUUGCUGUACUAAGAAUUUUACAUAAAUGCUAGUUCUCAUUCCUUUAUCUUAUUGAAUCAUUCCACCAACUCUUCUGUGACCACCCUUAGUUACUGAGCAGAACUGGGACUUAGAGCCACUGGCAAAUUGAUCAGCUGCCCACAAAAGCCUGGGUAGGGUACAGGGAGGAUUUGGACCUAACCUGUGCACACCAACAAAGCCCUCUCUUGCCCAGUGUCCACUUUGAAUCUCAUGGGAGGACAGGGGAGUAAAUACCAACAGAGUGGGCCCAGGGAGCCCUCGUGGGGGGGUGUGGGUGAAUGAGGCAUUCACUUACAGCCUUGCCCCAGUGUUUAGCUGGGGUCCCUAGACCCAAAGAACCUGGUCUCCCAGAGUCAGUGAGUGUAAAGAAGUAACAAAUGUGUUUCUUGUUUAUUCCAACAUUAAUUCUGUACCAGAUCAUGGCCUCCUUUAAGACACGCUAUAACGUCAGAUGCCUUGUGCUGUUUUCUUUCUUGCCUGAAAUUGUUCUUUGUUAACAAGGAGGCCCUUUUGUUGAGUUUUACUGGGCAACUUAACAUCUUUCGUCAGUCUCUGGCAGCGCUUCCAGAGUGUUCUGUAAGCUAUGAUUCGCUCCAAAGGCAGAACGGCCCGUCGGGCUGGGGCGUGUGCAGAUGGUACUGUUGAUACUCUGCAGGAGGAUCAGCUGGGCGGCCUGGCUGAGGCAGACCACAUCAAAGCUGUCUUUGUGCGGCUCCGUCCUGCCUUGUCCUGGCUCCAGCUUCUGCAAGGGCUUGCUUCAAACGUUCACAACCGGCAUCACGUCCAGUGACGACAUCAUUACAAUUCAUACGCAGACAACAAAUUGCAAGCACUUCUGUGUUGGGAAACAGUAAGCGCAUAUUUAUCCCGAGGAAUACUGUAGUGGAGAAUGUCCCCAUCUAGCAGGAAGUCAUUUCGAUGGAUAGGUUUGAGGUUUGUCAUCAAGAAGACUGAUUUGCAUGCUGCUCCAGCCCAACUUGGUCAGGAAGCAGGUUCCAGUAUCAGCAUCUCACCCACAGCACCUACGUUAUCCACCCCAACCCCGAGCUCAGCAGGGCCAUGUCGAUUUUAACAAGUUCCUGUUCAGAUCAAAUGUCCACUGAUCUUUCCUGUGGGUGCUGCCUAUCAAGGAUACCUUCUCUCCAACAAAACCAACACUUCAGUUAUUCGGUUCUUUACUGCAUGUCAGGCACUGGCCUAGGUACUUGGCAAAUAUGUGCUCUUCGUGGCCACUCAAUGGAUGUAGGCACCGUCAUCAUGUCCAUUUUGCAGAUGAGAAGUGGAGGUAAGAGAGGCUAAAUAGCACCCGCGUGCUCACAAAGCUAAGGAAAGGUUGGAAUUGGCUGCUAACUCUGGGAACACCCAAACCUAGAGGCCUCUGUCACUUCCUAGACAGAUAUGUUUCUGGGGAUUGAACUGAAACAGGAAGGAAGCUCUUCCCAGCCCCAUAAGAAGCCACCAGGUCAUGAAGCACCCCUGUGCCUCCUUGGUUGGACCUAAGGAGACUGCCAUAGUGGCAUUUUGGACUAGGUGGAUAUUGGAGGCUGCACAGAGGACUUUGAAUGAAAGCUUUGCUGCCAACUAGCUGUGUGGCCUUGCUCAUUUGUCUUCACCGGCAAAAGGAGGACAAUAAUACUAACCCCCACAGACUGUGCAAAGGAAUAAUUGUCAAAAUGCCCUAAAGCAGAGUAAGGUAGACAAAAAAUGGAGAUUUAAAAACAUUUUUAAAUGUUUUUAAAUACUUUAAAAAAUAUCUUAAAAAUAUUUUUCAUAGUCCUUUGAGAAGUGACUCUGUCCUAAAAAGCAAAUUAAUGUUGAGCUUAAAAUAAUAUUUUAAUUGAAGAUUAUUUAACACUCGUGAUUUUAAAAAUAAAAAUAUAAGGACUCUACGGCCCCUCACCACCACUCCGUAAUUGUGCCAACUUUUCUAGCACCAUGCUACAGCUAGGCAGUAAGAAAAACUCAGCUCUGGUCUUGUCUACUUGAAUUUUGUUUCAAUUUGGUUUUGGUGGGUGUCACUGAUCCCACUCUGUAAGGUGACAGUGAGGAGAGAGGGCAGAACAGCCCUUCCUAUCCCUGUCCUCUGAGACAAUGGCCCUCACACUUUCCAUUUCUCCAGCUACCCAGGCAGCUGUCCAAGUUGGCACCAGGAGACCUUCACUUUGCCAAAGGAGACAGUCAGGUCUAUCAGCUGCCCCACCUCAGUAAGUCCCGAUGGGCAUGACCCAUUCUGCAGCGAAUUCCCUGGUGGACUCCUGGACCUUCCUAUAGGUAAUGAAAGGAUGUGGGAACCGAGCAUAGAGCCCAGGCCACUCUUUCCUGCCUCUAACCAAACCCAGAGUGUAUUCUCCAAACUAGUAACUGUGCAAUAUUCUACAGUGUCCCAGGUGGCGUGCUCCGUUGCCUGCUGAGACAAUAUGUUUUGUAGUACCUUUCAGGGAGAGGUGUACCUGGGAAAGAGUGAGGGAGGUCGCUUCAGGGGCAAGGGAGCCCUGUGGACUACAGAACCAUGGGCAAGAAAUGGGAACGAAGAUUGGGUCCCUCCCCAAGGUCAUUCAUGGAGGACUUUUGUAAGACCACAAUUGGCAAGCAUGGCUCAAAGAGGUGAUCGUGCAGCACAGGCUGCCAACAGGGGAAAUGCAGUGACCCAGGUGCAGAGGCUGGCACCCUUGGACACGGGGAUUCAUGAGUGUGGAGGAUGGCGAGGGAAGGACAGAGCCUCUAUGCCAGUAGAUGUUGUGCAAUAUAAUGUGUGGGUGCUGCAAUCCAGGACAAGGUGUAAGUCGAGGUCCUAGAAUGGGGUGAUGUUUACAAGAGACCAACAGCAAGCUCUGUAUACACACUCAUCAUCCAUCCAUCCAGCCUUCCCUCCACCCAUCCCUGCACUCCAUUCUUUGUAAUCAUUCAUUUUAGUACAAGGAAUGAACAAAAAUAUGAAAUAUAAUUUUUCCUCUUGGAAGGGCAAAGCCAAGUAACUUCAGCCAAGAAAAUGUGCCCUGUGCCUUCAGUGACCCACAUUCUUUGCCUCCCCUGGAAGCAGUAAAGGUCUGCCCACAGCGCACUGGUAACUGCAUAGAGGAAGGCUGGAAUGGAGAGGGCAGACGAGCUUUCAAAACAGUGGCUGCAUCUCCCAGUGGAGAGCAGGAUCCAUUGGAUGGUGUCUCCACGUUUCCGUUUAGUGGGUGGGGGAAGUAUUGGAAAGAGCACAGGAAUGCAGAAACCUCUUUUUCUGUUGUUGGGGGGAAAAAAACCCCAUAAACUCAGUAGCUUGUAAAAAAUAGACAUUUGUUAUCUCACUGUUUCUAUGGGUCACGAGAACAAAUUCCCUGCUCCGUUAGAGUCCCAGGGCCAAAUAUUUACUAUUUAUCCAGGCCUAUGGAUAAAGGCUGGAUACUGUUUAUGUAUCAUCUGCAACUGACCUGAGACCCAGCUGACAGCAAGGUUUUUUCCAGAUGAAAGAAUCCAGGUUCAGUGGAAUUCUACUGAGUUCCUACUACACACUUGAAAGGUCAGUCAGUUUCACAAGCCCAGUCUUUCAGCCUGGGAAGAACUCGGGCUGUGGAAUAAAGGGGAGAGGAAGGUCUCAUCGGGACCCUUAAUAUCAGCAGCAGCUAGGCUUCUCUCCAAGCCAGGAUAGUUAAUGCCAACAUUAUCCUUUAUUAGCUAUUAAAAACUAGCUAUGGCUUCCCUUUGGUGUGUGAAGAAUCAUGAUUACUGCAGAAGAAAUUAUUCGGCAAUGCAACAUGAUAUAAAGUGCCAACAUUGAUUACAAUAUUUUCACAAAAGGUUUUCUUCCAGGAAAUAACACAACUAUUUGGAGACCCCAGAUGACAUCCUAUGACAUAGUUCUUCCUCUCACCUCCAUUUGUCCAAACACAAGAAAUAAGGGGAUCUUUUCCUUAAUACUUAGAUAUCCCUGUCGGCCAUUUAAGGCAUUUGAAUCUCUUGGAGAACUAAGACCUGUCUUCCUUAGAUGCCAGAGGAAUGAAUUUGUAAAAAACUUUGAUGUGAUUGUUCUUCCCACCUUCUUUGAUGUGCCCUCUUCUCCCUUCACCCAGGGCCCUGCAUUGUCUGAUAUAAAGAAAAAGAGACAAUGUUUAGCCUUUAAAUUUCAGAAGAGAUUUUUGAAGCACUCAAGGAGAAAAUGGUCUUGCCAGACAGGAUUUGUGAGGACAAAUGGAGUUUGGUAUCCCCAAACUUGCUGUCAUCUGUAAACAACAAAGGUGAGAAUUACCAGAGGCUCUGCAAAGGGGAAGCCCCCAUAGGGAGGUUGAGGAUGCUCUCCUGCCGCAGGUAGGCACAUGGGUGCAUUGAGAGAGAGAGAGAGAGAGAGAGAGAGAGAGGUUUGCAUGGAAGAGCAAGGCUAAGGUGGGGUUGUCAUCAGUCUUUAGCUCCACUGCCUCCAUGAGAGGGCACAGACCCAGGAUGACAUGGGGUUCAGAGUGCAGAGCAGACUUUCUAGCUAUGACCAAGCAGCAAUGUCCGAGAGUGAAGCUUAACACAGCAGCCUGGCCUAGACACCCCUUCCCUGUGGGACCUGGGGGACAAGGACUAUGACUCAUGCUUCUGGCUAGAGUUUGUGGGAGCACCAGAGCAAGGUGAGCAAGGACCCCAGAAUAGGGCCCAAAGGGUGAGAUCCCAUGGGAAUUGCACAUAGCUCUUUUAAGAAUUUGUGUCCCCAGAGGGCCAGUGUGAGAGACUCCUGGGAGAGGGUCUUGAGCCUUGUUCAUACAGCAUCAGGAAUGGAGGCAUCUGCAGAGCAAAAGGAGCCAGUUGCUAAGGUGGUAGUCCUGGACCACCAGCCUUGCGCAGUGCCACAGGGCCUAGGUGCACCUCCCAGCACCCAGAGGCCUCUUGGGACAGAGAAGUAACGAGGCAGUUGCUUAAAGGGGUGUCUCUGACAGCUGGAGUGCACUAAGGAGAGGCUCAGCAUAUACCCCAAAGGACCUUAGGAAACCCCAAAGAGGGGCCCAAAUGGAGGCAAUGGUACUUGGUGAGCUUCAAUGGUACAUUCGAUUUUCCCCAAUAGCAGUUAAAAAAUAAAGAAAAUGACAGCUGUUAUUUGCACAUGAGAAUGAUUUGAGUACGGUUUGUGCCUCUGAAUCUCACGUAGAAUAUCUGAUUGCUGUCAUGGCAUGUUAGAAGGGAAUAGUGCCUUUCUCUUGGGUCUAGGCUAAUUCUUGGAGUUGGGACUUAUUGUUCUUGCCGUGUUGGAGUAAUUGCUGCAGCAGUGAGUUGUUACAAAGUGGGCCACCCUUUGUGUUUUGCUGCUUCUGCACACACCACCCACUUGCCCUUCCAUCUUCUGCCAUGAGCUGAAGUAGCACAGGGCCCUUACCAGAAACAGCUGCCCAAUCUCGGGCAUUCCCACCUUCAGAUUUGUGUGCUAAAUAACCUCUCAUGUCUGGUACUUUUUUAUAGCAACAGAAAGUGGAAUAGGGUAACAUACAUUUUACCAGACCAUGUCUGGAUUUAAAAAUGCAUUGCAACUGAGGAUCAGAAAAAUGUUGAGGGUAAUGCAACCCGGAGCUUGCUGUAAGCUGUGGUUUUUCCCAAGUUCUAUGUCAGAGUGUUUUGACUUGCAGCAGGAGUCUCUACAACUCCACGUAGACCUCUCUGUUAGGAAACUGGUGCUGCAGCACCAAGAAGUGUUGGGAAGGAGCUGAUAUUCCAGCCCCAGCAGUGAUCCAAUUUUGAGUGGACUGCAAAUAAGCUGUUAGAGUUGGAGGCACCCGGACCUUUCUAGUCUAGUGUUUUAGGAUCACCAAUAAGGCAACCGUGCUUACCUGGCUUAAUCUGGAUUUAUCCCAGGAGGAUUUAAAAUUAAAGUGAGGAUUUCCAUUCAAGUUUCCUCAUUUCCUAGUCACUUCUGAGCAGACUGCUCAGGUCCGAGGCAGGACAGAGGACCUCCAAUGUCCCUGUCACAUCCUCUGCCUCCCCAACUUCUUGCUUGUUGAAAUAACCCAUUACCUUUUUUUUUUUUUUAAGCAGGUUGGGCCAAAACUAGAAAGAAAUAUGGCAGCGACUUUAGGAACUCUCUAGCUCAUGCCACCUUUGGUCCUUUUUCUUGGGGAGCCCUUUUUAGGAAAGGGAAUUAGUUUCCCAGGAUGCAAUUUUGAAUCAGCCCUGGCUGCUGAGAGUGGCCACUGGCCGCUGAGGGCAAGCAGCUCGUGCCAACUGAACACGGCCAGGAAUGACGACUUCAUAAUGCUCCUGGGGAGCCCCACUAAUUACCCAAUGGACGAUUUCAGGCCCAGUCAGUCUCUGAUGAGUCCUAGAUGGCAGGCAAGUGUCGAAACUUGCCCUCAGACUUGGAGGCUUCAUGCAGCAAGUCAGGGGGAUGACGGGGUGGAUUUUCCAGUCACACUGCCAAAGGGGCGGUGGUGUCCACCCGCCGUGGUGCUGCUUCUGUGCCAUACAGAGCUGUGUUCUGGCCUGCAGAGGCACAGUGAGUCUUGCUGCUUGAGGGAAAGAUGGCCAUAAGCAAGUCUUAACUCUCCGCAUCCCAUCUCUGCUUCCAGAAAGCCAUAAGGCUUAAGUUCUAGGUGGCAGAAUAAAUCAGCAGUGGAAUUCAAGUCGAGCAUUUCAUGUCCUUAUUCCUGUGUGCCCCCCAUGAACUCUUGCAUCUUCUGUCAAAUGUCUUCUCAGGCCCUACUGCCCCCCCCACCCCAAUACACAUGCUUCCCAAAUUGGGAUGCCACCUGCUCCUUACCUACAGGAAACGUGCCUGGUAGCAUUGGCAGUGUCCUACUUGGGGGGUAGGGGUCAGAGCUCUCAAAUUUUAAAAGAAAAUUCACCCCCUCCCAAGAAUUUUUCUCUCCUUUUUUUCUUAGCAAUGCUCAAUUAUAAGAUACACUGUUUUUUAACUACAGUGUUGAAACUGAGCAGUAGGUCUCCAGAAUUUGCUCAUCCAACUGGCAACUGCAAACCCUUUGACCAACAUUCUCACCCACCCCCCCCAUGCCUCCCCCGAGUCCCUGGCAACCACUGCUUCUGUGAGUUCAAAGUUUUCAGAAUUCCCCCAGGAAUUAUGUUCUGGGACUACAAUAUUUUAAAAUGCUCUAAAAAUAUAACUAUUUGUUAAUCCAGGGCACUCAUCUGAGCGCCCAGUCUUGGGGGUUGAGUAAGAAUUCCCAGGGGGCAUCUAAGGGUAGCGUGGAGUGUACCUAAGACAACGGCCAACCGUGUCCACGUUGGGGCAGUCGUAGAAUGGGGCUGUUUCAAGCAUCUGGUUGAAAGUGUUUGAUUUUGCUCUCUCUCUCCCUCGUCCACCUUUUUUCUUGCCUUAGGUGAGGGAACGAUGACGGGGACAGCAUAGUCACUUACGCACACGUUGGCCGAUUGUCCAGGCAAACGUUUUACUAUUUUGUGAUGGGUUUCACAAAAGAGGAAUGAACGGUCAAUUUCUGAAAUGUUUCCAGAGGUCCUCUAACGAGAACCAACUUAAUUCGAGUUAGAGGAUAGUUUUGAUAAAUACAGAAAAUAAUGGACAGCAAAACUCCACUACUCCUGGCCUUUUCCGCAUGCACACAGUGUGGUUUUUAAAACUGGAAAGUACUGGUUUCUAAAUCUUAGUUUGCUAGGGUCACUGUUACAAGUGCUUUAGACUGGACGGCCUAAACAGCAGAAAUCUCUCAUCUUACCAUUCUGAAGCCAGAAGUUGGAGAUCCAAGUGUCACGCUCGUUGGUUCCUUUGGGGGCUGGGGCGAGAACCUGUUCCAGCCUUUCCCCUUAGCUCAUAGAUGGCCAUCUUUCUGCAUCCCUACAUGGUUGUCCCUCUGAGGGUUCCUAUGUCCAAGUUUCUUCUAAUAAGAGCACCAGUCAUUUUGGGUUAGCACUCACCCUAAUGACCUCCCAUAACUUUAUAAUUAUGUGCCUCUGUAAAGACCUUCUCAACACAUAAGGUCACAUUUUUAGGUCCUGGGGGUUAGAACUUCAUGUGAACUUGGCCUGGUGAAAUGAUCCAACCCAGAAGAGUUUCCCUAUGACAUGCACGGUCAGUAGGCAGCUGGGAUGUAGAUUUAGGGGUGGGCUGUGCUCAGCAUGCUAAAGACCCUGGGUCAGUCCCCAACCUGAAGAACAAAGAUAAAAACAAGUCAGCUUGCAGGACAGCAUUCUCUGCCAUCUGUACCCGAUAAACUCCCCUGGCAAAGUAACAGGAUUCUAGAAUUCCUCCUUCUCUGGAGGUUUGGAUUUAAAUGGAUGAGGUUGUAAGGCUACGUGGCUUCAUGCCCUGAGUGUCUAUUUGGUAAGGACAUUGUAAGAUAAACAACCUUCUUACUGAUUGUUUUCAUAUUUCUAUUAAUAACCUUUUCCCUUUCUUUGAUAAAAAAGGCCACUUCCUGCCCUAUAUCCUUUCACGGUUAGGGACGUCUCUCUCGACUCAUUUUCUUUUUCCACAUAUUCCACAUACUCUCCCUCCUUCGGGGCAGCCAAGAUUCUCAGAGUGUGCAGAAUUCUUCCUUUCUUUAUGCCUUUGCAUUGAGCAUUUAAGACAUACAACUAGAUUUUUCUCUAUUCCGCACAAUUCAGUCCUUUCUUGGCUGCCAGUUUCAUGUUGUGUAUGGAUUAGGUGCCACCAUUACAUAGACUCUGACUUUCACCUGUCCCUUUAAAAGUCACUUGUCUCCAGUUAUAUCAUAAACUGCUUAUAUAUGUGUCCCCUCCAGUCCAAGGACGGUGGUAAACAAAGAGUAGGUGUUCAAUAAAUACUUGUGAUUGGCUGUUCUCAUUUUUUCAGGAUUCCUAGUGCAUGUUUGUCAAAGAACUAGAAAGUGGUAAAAUAGAUAUUACUCAAUGUUGCAAUGGGGGGGGAAAGACCUCAGCACAGAGCUGGGCUCCACUCCAAGUACAAUAAGGAAAAGUGAGAAUCUACAGCCAAGGAGCAGGGCGGGGGUCACUGGAUGGAAAAUUCCUGAGCAGAAGCGUCAAGCGGGAUUCUCGACAAAGACGGGCCCAGUGACCAGACAUCACCUUGUGGGGAGGGGUCGGGGGUGGGAGGUGAGGAGUUGGAUGGGAUAACAAGGGAGAGCAGAUGCUGAUGACAAUGGGUACUGGUUAAAUAGCCAUCGUGACGUUCAUCAGGCUCUCGUAGGACAUGACCAAGGUCAAGACCUAGUCAGCACUGAAGAAACCCCUCUAAAGUCUGGUCAAGGGAGACAAGCUUCAUUACACUACCUCUUUGCCACUUGAGGGGUAGAAGCGUCAGAAUGCAAGAAGGAUAGUCUGCCUCCCGGUGCUCUUUUGGGAGGUACGACCAGAGAGGCCUUCAGAACCAGCAGGAGGAAUCCCUGCUAUAGACUUCAUAUUCUGGAGGACUCCAAGUGUUGUACACACACACACAAACAAGAACAUGCAGGCACAGACACACCUGCAGACACGCACACACAUACCACACCCGCAUACACACACAAAUACAUACGUACACAUACCUUUCCAAACACACAGAGACACAUAUAUGUGCAUACAAACAUACAGAUGCACACAUAUGCCCCACUUACAAACAUACACACACGAACACAAGUACACACACAUUCAUUAAAGAAUAUCUAGAAUCCUGCAUCUAGUAACAAUACUUCUCACUUGAGGUUGUUAUUUUUUGUAGUAGGUUUACCAAAUCAUGAUAAAUUACAAUAACUUUUUAAAGUUUUCUCUUUUCUUUUAGUUGUGGAUGGACCUUUAUUUUAUUUCUAUGUGGUGCUGAGAAUCCCACCCAGUGCCUCACACAUGCUAGGCAAGCCCUCUGUCACUGAGCUACAGCCCCAGCCCCAUGACAAAUCUGACUAGGAAGAGAUGCGAUCCUACAGUGGUAACGCCCACUCUCCACUAACACGGGAGACUGUUGCCCGUGAGGUUCUCUCCCCACUCCUUUCUCGAUUGGGAUUCACAUAGUUGUAUUCAAGUAUCAAACAGGAUAAUGAGUCUGGUAUAUGAUGGAUAGUUCUAGGACAAAAUUUCUCAUCUCUACCAUCAAAUCCUCUUGGAUUCACUUCGAUAUCUGUCUUGAUUCUUUCUGCAUCGUUUCAUCUUACGGCUUGUUAUGGCUUGGAGAUGAGAUGUCCUCCCAGAGCUUCUGUGUUGACAUGGGGAUAUUUGGGGGUACAUGAUUGCAGUAGGAGAGCUGUGGUCUAAUCAGUCCGUCCUAGUUUGAAUGGACUGACUGGGUGGUGACCGUGGGCGGGUGGGGUGUGGCUAGAGGAGGUGGGUCACUGGAGACGUGCCCUGGAGGGGCUCAUGUUUCCUGUGGCCCCUUUCGCUCUCCCUCUUCCAGGUGGCCAUGAACUGAGCAGCACUCCUUCACCAAGCCCUUCCACCCUGAUGUUCUGCCUCACCUUGGGCCUAGAGCAAGGGAGUCGGCCCACCGUGGAUUAAACCUCAAAACCAUGAGCCCAAAUAGACUUUUCCUCCUCUGCGUUGUCCUUGUUCAUGGUGAAACAAAGAUGAGUGUACAAACAAGCCCACCUGGCUCCUCCUCAAGGUCGUCAUCGUCUCUGGCCUCAACUCUGUGUCAGCCCUUAGUGCAUCUCCGCUGUGGCCUCAUGCAGGUCAUUCUGCACUGGGUCGCCACAGUGAUCGGCAUGUAAGUGUUGACGUUGCUUCCCCACCUAAAACCUUCCAGCAACUUCCAUUGCACCACACCUACAACUGAAAUCCCUUCCUAUGGCAACGGACUGUCCUGAUGGAACCCUGGCCUCCUUCACCAGUGUCAUAUGGGGCUACAGUCCCCCAAACACUGGAGUCAGCCCUAGGACCUUUACAACACCCGACAUGCUAAGCUUCUCAGCCUCAGGACUUUGGGACUCACUCAUCCUGUUAUACCCACCUGUCCACCUGACCAGCUUCUUCUCAUGCUCCAGUGUCUGUUGAAGGCUCAUUUCCCCAGAGGUGCCUCCCCUGACCACCCCAUCUCAAACGCAGCCCGUCUCACUAAUUCCUGUCUUCCCACUGCCCAGUCAAUGUCUUCCUAGCCGUCAGUGCUACCUGACAUUGUCUAUGCGCCCCCUUCCUAGUGACCUCUUAUUACCUCAACUAGAGUGGGAGGUCCUCAGGACAUUCCUGUUGAAUAGAUAUCUUCAGGGGAAUAAAGGACCUUUAUUUUGAUCUUACGGCAAAUGUAAAGAAAAGUCGCACAGAUGUGUGCAAAUCUUACUGUACAUCUCCAUGGAUUAGAUAAAGAAGAUUUCUUUCUGUUCCCUAUUUUCCCUACCCCAGUAUCUCCUCUUACCUUUAAGGAGUAAGGUUUUGACAUUGUUGAUGGAACUUACUAGGUUCUUCUCACAUCUUUAUCUUAGCUCAUGAGCCCUCCCCUAGAUGCACCUUGUCUGCUUUUUGUAGAAGGAACUUUCCUAUCUCGUUCCCCACUGCAGAGUGCUCUGCUGCUGAGUUGCAGAAACAUUUUAGCUCACAGAUGUCCACUUUUUAAACAGUGCUGUCUCUGCUUCUUUGAAAAAUGCCAGCCAUUUAAUCAUGCCUUCUGCUUCAAGUUCACCGUGACGAUGGCUAAUAAGCUUGGGAUUGUUC